Molecule: long non-coding RNA, 215 nt
Organism: Sceloporus undulatus (fence lizard)
Lineage: Eukaryota; Metazoa; Chordata; Lepidosauria; Squamata; Phrynosomatidae
Exons: 3
Source: RefSeq, a predicted model, not a curated record
CCCUCCUUCCUCCCUCAGGGAGAACUGAAGAAAAGAAGGAAAAGAGCUUCAGAACUAUGUGAAAAAAGUGAACCCUCUCCAAAGGCAUACUGAGUAGGGCAUAAAGCAGGUGGAGUUUAUGAAGAGUCAGGAAAAGAGAGAAGCAACCGCCAUCAUGCAACUGAGUGGAGGUGCAGUGACGGAUGUCUUGAAAGUGCAAUCCUACUAAGAAGAUU